This 558-nucleotide ribosomal RNA is filed under the name Botryosphaeria dothidea. Its description in RNAcentral is "eukaryotic LSU rRNA". The stretch from base 182 to 335 matches the Rfam family "5.8S ribosomal RNA". The record is from RNAcentral. Lineage: Eukaryota; Fungi; Ascomycota; Dothideomycetes; Botryosphaeriales; Botryosphaeriaceae.
CCCGGAGCUGAAUCGGGCUCGGCCCGAUCCUCCCACCCUUUGUGUACCUACCUCUGUUGCUUUGGCGGGCCGCGGUCCUCCGCGGCCGCCCCCCUCCCCGGGGGGGUGGCCAGCGCCCGCCAGAGGACCAUCAAACUCCAGUCAGUAAACGAUGCAGUCUGAAAAACAUUUAAUAAACUAAAACUUUCAACAACGGAUCUCUUGGUUCUGGCAUCGAUGAAGAACGCAGCGAAAUGCGAUAAGUAAUGUGAAUUGCAGAAUUCAGUGAAUCAUCGAAUCUUUGAACGCACAUUGCGCCCUUUGGUAUUCCGAAGGGCAUGCCUGUUCGAGCGUCAUUACAACCCUCAAGCUCUGCUUGGUAUUGGGCACCGUCCUUUGCGGGCGCGCCUCAAAGACCUCGGCGGUGGCGUCUUGCCUCAAGCGUAGUAGAACAUACAUCUCGCUUCGGAGCGCAGGGCGUCGCCCGCCGGACGAACCUUCUGAACUUUUCUCAAGGUUGACCUCGGAUCAGGUAGGGAUACCCGCUGAACUUAAGCAUAUCAUAAGACCGGAGGAAUC